Molecule: transfer RNA, 72 nt
Filed under: Ovis aries (sheep)
Lineage: Eukaryota; Metazoa; Chordata; Mammalia; Artiodactyla; Bovidae
Rfam family: tRNA
About the family: Transfer RNA (tRNA) molecules are approximately 80 nucleotides in length. Their secondary structure includes four short double-helical elements and three loops (D, anti-codon, and T loops).
Source: Rfam by way of RNAcentral
UCUCUUGUAGCUCAGCUGGUAAAGAAUCCACCUGCAAUGUGGAUGACCUAGGUUCAAUCCCUGGGUUGGGAA